GAUGAACGCUGGCGGCGUGCCUAACACAUGCAAGUCGAACGGAGUCGUUUUGGAAAUCUCUUCGGAGAUGGAAUUCUCGACUUAGUGGCGGACGGGUGAGUAACGCGUGAGCAAUCUGCCUUUAAGAGGGGGAUAACAGUCGGAAACGGCUGCUAAUACCGCAUAAAGCAUUAAAUUCGCAUGUUUUUGAUGCUAAAGGAGCAAUCCGCUUUUAGAUGAGCUCGCGUCUGAUUAGCUAGUUGGCGGGGUAACGGCCCACCAAGGCGACGAUCAGUAGCCGGACUGAGAGGUUGAACGGCCACAUUGGGACUGAGACACGGCCCAGACUCCUACGGGAGGCAGCAGUGGGGAAUAUUGCGCAAUGGGGGAAACCCUGACGCAGCAACGCCGCGUGAUUGAAGAAGGCCUUCGGGUUGUAAAGAUCUUUAAUCAGGGACGAAACAAAUGACGGUACCUGAAGAAUAAGCUCCAGCUAACUACGUG
RNAcentral lists this ribosomal RNA (483 nucleotides) under uncultured bacterium. RNAcentral's name for it is "partial 16S ribosomal RNA". It matches the Rfam family "Bacterial small subunit ribosomal RNA", at positions 28 to 507 of the family's 1533-position model. The record is from RNAcentral.